GGGUUGUAAACUUCUUUUAAGAGGGAAGAGCAGAAGACGGUACCUGUAGAAUAAGCCACGGCUAACUACGUGCCAGCAGCCGCGGUAAUACGUAGGUGGCAAGCGUUGUCCGGAUUUACUGGGUGUAAAGGGCGUGCAGCCGGGUCUGCAAGUCAGAUGUGAAAUCCAUGGGCUCAACCCAUGAACUGCAUUUGAAACUGUAGAUCUUGAGUGUCGGAGGGGCAAUCGGAAUUCCUAGUGUAGCGGUGAAAUGCGUAGAUAUUAGGAGGAACACCAGUGGCGAAGGCGGAUUGCUGGACGAUAACUGACGGUGAGGCGCGAAAGUGUGGGGAGCAAACAGGAUUAGAUACCCUGGUAGUCCACACUGUAAA
RNAcentral lists this ribosomal RNA (371 nucleotides) under uncultured bacterium. RNAcentral's name for it is "bacterial SSU rRNA". It matches the Rfam family "Bacterial small subunit ribosomal RNA", at positions 420 to 806 of the family's 1533-position model. The record is from RNAcentral.